UGAAUGAAACAAGACAUCAAGCAUAAAUUCUAUAUGAUUCUAUUUACAUGGAAUUUAAGAACAGGCAAAACUAAUAGGUUAGCUUUCAGGGGCAAGUAUUGACUGGGAAGGGCACAUGGAGCCUUCUGGUAUACUGCAAAUAUUUUCCAUCUCAAUCUGGGCAGUAGUUAAAUGGUUAUAUGUCUAUGUAAAAAUUCAUCAAGCUGUAUACAUAAGAGUCUUAAGAUUUGUGCACUUUAUUAUUUGUAGACUAUAUCUACUAGAAGAGAAAAAAAAAAGUCUUGAGAAGAGACAUAAGCAUUUUGGGGUCAGCCUCACCUUUCCAUCUGCCUUUUCCAACAAAGGGAUGGAGACGGAGGCCAAAUGAGCACCAUCCAAGUCAGCUCCUUCUGAAACAGAGACAAAAAUAACUACAUCUCAAGUAUAAGAACAUACUUUCCCCUUUUUUUUUUUUUGGGAAAGGCACAGGCUUUUUUCACAUUACCAGCCAGAGGGAAUCUUUCUCAAACUUUCCAUAGAGAUUCUCCCUUGAGCAGGCACCAAACAUGGACAUUUUCUACCAGAGAAAAACAUGCUGGGGAGUUAUAAGCCUCUGGAACGAAAGCGUUGGGAAGGAAAUGAUGUAGAUCCCCCUCCCUCACCUGGGCUCCUCCCAGUCCUCCUGGAGCCAUGUUCCAGUGGCUAUAUGUUGUCAUCAGGAGAGUGCUAAUCAGAGGGACUGCAAGGAUGGAAGACAAGGGCAGGAGAGUGGACUGGGUCAGACAGUUGCCAGGGUCCAGUCCACACUGAGCACUGGGCCUUUCCCAUCUGGUGGGAAGAAAGGUUUUGAUUCUUCAUCCCUCAUACAAAUGGAAGGAAGUCACAGACAGCUUAAAAAAAAAAAAAGGUGUUUAAAGCAAUGUAUACAUUGUGGACAGUGAACGAAGCAUCUCAAUUCUGUGUGGGUCUGUCCAUAUAAAGAUGAAGGAGCCUCAUUUUCCAGCUGCACUGCCUCCCUCCUCUCUCCUAGCUCCUCUUUCCUCCUGUCAUCUCUUUGUCCAGCUUCUUCAUUUUCCUUCUCAUCAUCUGAAAGCCUUGAGAACAAAUUUUUAGGAAGUACCUGUGUAGGGCAGGGUACUUGACAACUUUACCAGGAAGGUGUUAUUUUUCAGGUGAGGACACCAGCUUUAGGGGAGUGAAGUGAUUAGCUUGAGGUCAUGCACCUAAGAGAUGUCAGAGCCAGAGUUUGCAUCUAGGCUGGUGAGACUCUGUGUGGGCUCUGUCAUGGGGUUCAGUUGCCUUAAGUCUCCUUUUCUUGAGAAAGACAUUGCUGGAUUGUUAUAUCCUAUCCUGUCUCUCAAGAUAAGCAACAUUUUAGUAAAAGAUAUUAUUUUAUUUUAUUUGCUUUUUAGGGCCGUACCCAAGGCAUAUGGAAGUUCCCGGGCUAGGGGUCAAAUCGGAGCUACAGCUGCUGGCCUAUGCCACAGCCACAGCAACUGUGGGAUCCAAGGCGCAUCUGCAACCUACGCCACAGCUCAUGGCAAUGCCGGAUCCCUGACCCACUGAGUGAGGCCAGGGAUCAAACUUGCACCUCAUGGAUUCUAUUUGGAUUCGUUUCCACUACGCCACAAAGGGAACACCCUGAAAUACUUUUAAAAAUGAAAAUUAAUACAAAAUCUGUGAUGAAAAAUGUAAAUCUUUUGAAUAAAGACAGGAUCAGUGUUAGCAGUUUUUCAUUUUGCUUGGGCUCUAAUGUGACACCAUGUUGACUUAUUCCUCGGGUCCUUAUUUGGGCCCAUUGCUCUCCUUUGCCCAUGUUCUUGUCCCUUGCUCCUUCCGAUGGAUAAUAUUGUAUGCCCCCACCUUUCAUCUCAGUGUGAGUAACUCCAAAUUCUACUUUCUCCCAGGGCUCAAGGAGGAGAAGCCUUUUGUUUCUUCAAGCUUCUGUUCACUUCAGGAGUUUGGGGUACAUGUCUUGUGUUUCCACUGACCUUUUGGAAAGCUCCGCCUGAACUCUGGUGACCUAAAGUCAACUUUUCCUCAACUAAGCUCACCCUUCCUCCCAUCCUGUCCUCAGGUCUGCUCCUGUCAAUGUCAGCAGCAGCCUUCUAGUCACCCGGCUCUCCCCUCAUUCCUAUUUCCAACAGCCAAUCUGCUGCCCACCCUUGUUUAUUAUCAAGUACCUCCUACAACUGCCCUUUCUUAUCCAAAAGCCCAGACAGACUAUGCCUGAACUGGCACUUGCUUGGGGUGGGAAGGCACAGAAGCAAGAACUUAAGCAUAAUCAUUUGUCUGAGGACCAGAGCUGUAGUGAGGGGCGUAGAAAGGGAUGGGCUUACUUAGAUCUGUGCAGACAGGGCAAGCAGAGGUUGGAGAAAGAACUAAGCACCACGUUGUUGAAAUAUCUUCUCAAUCUUUGAUUCCGUAAGGGAACAUAUAGGAUGUUCCAUGCUAUCUUCACUUGCUACAUGCUAGGGAGACAAAGAUUGAAAAUCAUUUCAGUUCUUGAGAAGCUCACAAUCUGGUGGGAAAGACAGACCCACAAAUAAACCCCACAGGAGCAUGCAGUUUGGGGUAACUGAGGAGGAAGUCACCAACUGAAGAUGAAAAGAUGGGCUAGGAAAGUUGCCCAGAGGAAAAGAUACUGAGCUGAACUUCAGUGUUGAAUGAAGGAGAUGAUUGAUGUCACUGGUGAUGAUGUUAGUCAUUAUGAAGAAGAUAGUGAAAAUCACCAAGGUGAUAAUUAUGCACAGGGAGACUCCAUCAAAAAGAUGGAGGUGAUAGGGCUGAGGAACGCAAACCACCUUGGUACCUCUGAUGUAAUGGAUUGGGCAGUGAUCCCAAACCAGUCCAGGAGGCCACACUGUGACUUCAGGUGUCUUUUCAUAGUCAUGGCUUAUGAUUCAAGAUAUAGUGUACCAGGAGUUCCCCUUGUGGCUCAGCAGUAAUGAACCCGACUAGUAUCCAUGAGGACAUGGGUUCAAUCCCUGGCCCUGCUCAGUGUGUUAAGGAUCCAGCAUUGCUGUGAGCUGUGGUGUAGGGUCGAAGAUUCGGCUGGGAUCUGUUGUUGCUGUGGCUGUGGCAGGCACAUCUGCUCUGUGUCCAGAGAGCUUGUGGAAGAUUAAAAAAGGAGCUGUACUUCCUAUGCCCUUCCAGUUCUAGAAUCACUGACCUUGGUAACUGGUAACUCUAGAGGGGCUUUCUCUCUCCCAAUUGGUCUGUCACAUGCUUGAAGUCUCCCGAUUAACACAUCAUUUCCUUAGCUUGUCUUGCAUCUCCAGAUGCAAGAGUUGGAAGGAUAUAUUAAGGCAUUAUUACUCCCAAACACCCCAGCAUAAGAGUUUAACAGCUUAUUGUCUCCUGGGUCACUGUAUUUUAAUACAAUGAAGGAAAACCAGCUUAAGAGUCUGGACCAUUUCUCAAUGAACAGGAUUGGGUGAGGAUGUGUUACAGAAGGGUUGGUAGCUUUGGGACCCCCAAAGCUUGAGGAUGAAGUCUGCAGGUGAUGGGAUCUGAGGAAGCCACUCUAGGACUCCCUGUUGCUAAUUAGAGUUGACCCUGGGAUAUAACUUCCUGAAGUAUUGAUCCAAAAUUACCCUCCUAGAACUUUGGUUGUUAUUACACCAUUGCCUGGGCCUCUUGCCUUCCACUACCACCUCCUCACCCGCUACCAGUUCCUCCCUGGGUACCUUGCUAAUAAGCUGUGUCCACAAGGGUUCUUAUCUCAGGAAAGUCUCAUCAUAAGGCAAUGGCUCUAACUCAUUCUCCUUUUUCUGGCUUCCUUCAGUCCAAAUCAUUUGGGUACCUGGCCCAUACUGUUUGGGCCAUGUCUAUGAGCCUUGCCUUCCUGGUUUUAGUGUAAGUUCUCUUGUCUCCCCUGGUUUGCCUGGCAGGCACUGGGACAUCCCUAGCACCACCCUUUGUCAGAGGUGGAAGGUCCAGGGGGUCUUUGAGACCAAAAGAGGAAACAGAGGCCCAGAAAAGCUAAAGGGCUUGUUGACUAAAUGAUACUUUCUCUUCUUCUCCCAACUGAGAUGUACAGGGAGACAUUUUGUCCCCAUGAUGAUCUGUUCUUGGUUUAUUGAGAUGAUGAUGAUGAUGAUGAUGAUGGCUCUUGCUAUGUGGUUUCUUGAGGAGUCCCAGGCCUUUGGCGUGUGUAAUUAGGAAACUUCCCGAAGCCUUUCUAAGAGAGAGACCCUAUGUCCUGCAUUUCAGGCAAACUGCCUUCGGCUUAGAGAUAUAGAGUAGUGGGGAAGUCGAAGGGUAGCAAAGUGAAGGAGAAUCACAGAAGGGUUUGGAGUGGGGUUCAGUGGACACUUGAGCACUUUAUCCCAGCCUUGGGUUGAGGAGGGGGCAGAGAAUGCCUUAAUGAUCAACUAAAGCCUUAGUUGAACGUUGAAGGCAAACAGGAGUUUCCAAGGUAGGGAGAUAGGCAAUUCCCUUCACAUUCAGUGUACAACCAACAUCUGAUGUAAAGAUGAUACUUUUUUAUUUGGAAAGACAUUUUUUUCAUAGAGGUAUAGGAACAGAGUUUGGAGUCAAAUGGGAUUUAAAUCUUGGCUCCAUCACUUUCUUUGCGACUCUGAGCAAGUCCAUUAUACUUUCCAAACCUCAAUACCGUCAUCUGUAAGUUAUGACAAUGAGUCCCACUUCACUGGAUGAUCAUCAAACUCAAAUGAGGCAAAUUAAUUCUUGAUGUGUAUGUGCAGAACCCUUGAGAAAUGGUUGUUGUGGUGUUCACAGAGAACUUUUAACUUUCAUCAUUACCAUAUGAAUAUUGAUUAUUCUCUCACUGUGUUCAAGUGUUGAAUGAACCUCAUCUUGUCUUGUGCAUCCUCAUUUAAGAGGACAGGAGAUAACACUGUCCAGAACUAGAAACUCUGAGAGGGUAAGGGACCUGCCCAUUCCUAUCUUAGGUUGAGUUCUCCAAGAAGCAGGCAUUCAGGUGAAGAUAGGAGUGUAAGCACUUUACUUGGGUGGUGAUCCCAGCAAACACUGGCUGGAGAGCAGGAAGUAAGGCAGGCAAGGGAAGUCAGUCCGUGGAGGAUGUGUGUUCAAUCCAUUUACCACCGUAGGCAGCUGGAGCUCUCUCCCACCAGGAGUGCAGUGUAAAGUAAACAUCUCAGGAUAGAAAGCCCAGAAUUAAACCCACACACCUACAGUCAACUAAUUUAUGACAAAGGAGGCAAGAAUAUACAAAGGAGAAAAGACAGCUCCUUCAAUAAGUGGUUAUGGGAAAAGUGGACAGCCACAUGUAAAAGAAUGAAAUUAAACACCUCAUAACACCAUGCACAAAAAUAAACUCAAAAUGGAAUAAGGACCUAAAUAUAAGACCAAAUACUAUAAAACUCUUAGAGGAAAACAUAGGCCAAACAAUCUCCGACAUAAACCACAGCAAUAUCUUCUCAGAUCCACUUCCUAGAGUAAUGACAAUAAAAGCAAAAAUAAACAAAUGGACUUAAUUAAACUUAAAAGUUUCUGCAUAGCAAAGGAAACCCUAAUCAUAACGAAAAGACAACCCACAGAAUGGGAGAAAAUAUUUGCAAAUGAAGCAACUGACAAGGGACUAAUCUCCAAAAUUUAUAAACACAUCCUGCAGCACAAUACCAAAAAACAAACAAACAAACAAACAACCCCAUCAAAAAAGUGGGCAAAAGACAAUUCUCUAAGGAAAACAUACAGAUGG
RNAcentral lists this long non-coding RNA (5665 nucleotides) under Sus scrofa (pig). Its description in RNAcentral is "lncRNA (ENSSSCG00015017600.1)". Lineage: Eukaryota; Metazoa; Chordata; Mammalia; Artiodactyla; Suidae. The record is from RNAcentral.